This 455-nucleotide ribosomal RNA is filed under the name uncultured bacterium. RNAcentral's name for it is "bacterial SSU rRNA". It matches the Rfam family "Bacterial small subunit ribosomal RNA", at positions 30 to 507 of the family's 1533-position model. The record is from RNAcentral.
AUUGAACGCUGGCGGCAUGCCUAACACAUGCAAGUCGAACGGAGAUAGGGGCAACCUUAUUUCAGUGGCGGACGGGUGAGGAAUGCGUCGGAAUCUGCCCUAUGGUGGGGGAUAACACAGGGAAACUUGUGCUAAUACCGCAUAAUGUCGAGAGACCAAAGCAGGGGACCGCAAGGCCUUGCGCGAUAGGAUGAGCCGACGCCCGAUUAGCUUGUUGGUGGGGUAAAGGCCUACCAAGGCGACGAUCUUUAGCUGGUCUGAGAGGAUGAUCAGCCACACUGGGACUGAGACACGGCCCAGACUCCUACGGGAGGCAGCAGUGGGGAAUAUUGGACAAUGGGCGAAAGCCUGAUCCAGCAAUGCCGCGUGAGUGAUGAAGGCCUUAGGGUUGUAAAGCUCUUUUACCAGGGAUGAUAAUGACAGUACCUGGAGAAUAAGCUCCGGCUAACUCCGUG